UACGGAGGGGACUAGCGUUGUUCGGAAUUACUGGGCGUAAAGCGCACGUAGGCGGCUUUGUAAGUCAGGGGUGAAAUCCCGGGGCUCAACCUCGGAACUGCCUUUGAUACUGCAAAUCUCGAGUCCGGAAGAGGUGAGUGGAAUUCCUAGUGUAGAGGUGAAAUUCGUAGAUAUUAGGAAGAACACCAGUGGCGAAGGCGGCUCACUGGUCCGGUACUGACGCUGAGGUGCGAAAGCGUGAGGAGCAAACAGG
RNAcentral lists this ribosomal RNA (253 nucleotides) under uncultured bacterium. RNAcentral's name for it is "partial 16S ribosomal RNA". It matches the Rfam family "Bacterial small subunit ribosomal RNA", at positions 524 to 776 of the family's 1533-position model. The record is from RNAcentral.